This is a long non-coding RNA of Athalia rosae (coleseed sawfly), 2653 nucleotides long. RefSeq lists it as uncharacterized. The transcript has 3 exons. The record is from RefSeq and is a predicted model, not a curated record. NCBI's taxonomy places the organism in Eukaryota, Metazoa, Arthropoda, Insecta, Hymenoptera, Athaliidae.
UUUUCUCUGAAUCAAAGCCAUAGUAGUUUAAAGUUAGCUUGUGUAAAGUAUACAGAAAUGAAAAUACAUAUAUCUCCACUCGAGACGCGAGGCACGUUCCUCAUCCCGAGCCGGUGCAGCGGUAGCGCUCUUGUCUUUCUCUCCAACGUUCUGUAACCAAUCCUUUCGACUCAUUUUAUUCACUCGCGAUCCUCGAGGCUCUAUAAUCAGAGCUUUGUUAUUAGCACGGCUCUGUACGGGCUUUAUUAAGGAAGUACCAGAGGUUCGUAUUUGAGUCUGAAAACUCGACAGUUUUAAAAAAAUAGUCAUACGGAAUAAUUCCCUCCUCUCGAUGUACGGUGAAACAACGAAACAAUGUCAGGCCCACGAACAAAUUUCAUUCAACUCGACUUCCGUCUAGAUCUGCUUUUCUUGGAGUAGAAUAAAAAAAGAACCAAGCGGAGUCGCGGAGUUCCCAGUUGGAUUUGAAAUCCAGGAACACAUACAGAGGAUCGCGUUAUAGGCAUUAGAUUGGGAGUCUGCACGAGAAACGCUAACGAAUUAAUCAAGUCUCCGCGUAAAGUUGCCUCUAUCAAAUACGACUGCGAAACCGCGGUACUGACGGUUAAUCAUCUUCCCAGCUGUACUGCAGCUAUUUCUCAGUAUAAAUGCAAGAUACAUGAUAUGACGCGUGUGACUGUAAUACGAAGAUUAUCCUUCGGCACUCGACAGAUUGCUCAUAUACCUGUUUUCAAUCUUCCAUCGAAUCGAUCAGAGUAGAGAAAGAGAGGAAUAUAGCUCCGUCGUAAUCUUGAUGUACGGACAUAAUUAUUUGUGGAGGUAUAAAGUGCUUUGUUCAAAUAUGCGAUUGUUAAAUCGACGAGUUGAAAUAUUUAAGAAUAAUAAAUCAGAUAUAUAGAUCACGCACGCGCGUGCAUAAUUACACGUAACGUCGAGUUUUCACUUAACAUGACAUCACGCGCUUACGAGGCGAUUAGGAUUUCGUGAGAAUAUCAGAUAGCUCGUCUGUUGACGCUGAAUGAGGAUAAAGCGUAGUACAAUUUGAGGAAAUCAGAGCAGAAUUAGGUUUCAAUUACGGGGUUAAUAGGCCGCCAAAAAAAAUCAAACCCUUCCACCAUGAUAGUAUUCGGUGGAAUUAAACGCCACUGAGAACAGACGUUCGUCUUCUUUAACGACUUUGAGAAGGUAUUAUUGAAGAUAAGGUCACGUUGGAUAUUCUCUCGCCUUCAAACGUAUUACCACCAACGUGUAGACGUAUAUUCCCAGAUCAUUCGUCAAGGGAUCAUUCGAUUCGACGCAAAAACUAUACGAGCAAAAAAUUUCUUCAGUUACCCGCAACGCACUCUAGGUGGAAUUUGAUUUGAUAAUGCAGCCUAUCCACUGAACUACCGUUAGUACUCCUUACUGAACUUUCGAGUAUCUUUCAAUGAAAUUAAGUAUUUCACACAUGUAUGCAUAGCUAUAGGUAUCGCAAUAUAGAGGCGAUGAAGCUGGUGCUCGACACGCCGCACGAAUGAGAAGCCUUGCAGUUCUCGGAAUUAGCCAAUAAGAGCUAAAAAUAAUACGCAUGGAAAUCGCAAGCUCUUGAAGUAUAAAGAAAAUCAACCGUGUGCGGUAGUUUAUAUUUAGGUAUAUAGUUGCUGGUAUGACAAGCUACAUUUCGAGACCUGCAACUGCUAUGGCGUGCCAGGGUGUCCUUAUACUCCGUACGCGGAAGCGCAAUACCAUGUGGUAGACUUCUAUUCUGAAAGCAGCCAUAAAGAGCUUCUUGAAUCCGUAGAUACGUUAUGCAACUUUUUUAAAGUAGUGUUGGAAAAAAAGGGAAAUUCAAGACCACCACGUGACUUUUCGCUAUCCAACUAUCUCUGGCACGCGAUACUGCACUGCAAUUAAAAAAGAAAGAAAACAAUUUUCUCUACAAGAACACGCAAUGGUCCCGAACAAAACUGUCGAUUUUUUUUUUCUUAUGUGUGCACACGUAUACCUCGAGUUAAACAUUUUUGACCUGAUGUUGUUACUUUAAAAAACCGUACACUAUAGAGAUCUUCUACAGGCAGCUCUUCACCUGGGUAUAUUUUUAAAUUGAGUCUCCGAACCCUUCUGCAGAAAUACCCGAGAGGACGAAAAUUUAUGAGGAGAUGAAAUACGUUACACAUUCGCUAACUAGUCCAGAUGGUUGAAAAUCCAAAGACAACGAUUACGAUUAUUAGUCUCUGAAUUUAUUCUGCAAGUUUUCAAAAAUGAAUUCGACUCCCGACUUUGUACAACCGAAAUUAAAUGUAAGAAGCUUCUGUAUUCUUUUGUAUUUCGACCGUACAUCGCUGAACGUGAAAAAUAAAAAUAGGUGUGCAAGGCAUUUCGACUGGGAGCUACGUUGACAAACGCAAAACACAACACCGAUAAUGCAUACCUCAGGAAGUUCGUCUGGUACUUUUCCCAUCCAGCUGAGAGACAGGAUGUUGCAGUCACACUUGGCGUUAUUAUUUUUUUCAAAAUGCAAAUGCAUUUUUGUAUCAUUUGUUCCGUAAUCCCAUGUAAUAACCCAAUUGAAUAUAUCAUUCAACUAUACGAUCAACAGUUUCUUCUAUAACAUUUUUAUUAUCUACGUGGUGAAUGUUGGGGGAAUAGAAUAAUAUUAAACACUCAUAAUCGA